This 289-nucleotide ribosomal RNA is filed under the name uncultured bacterium. Its description in RNAcentral is "partial 16S ribosomal RNA". It matches the Rfam family "Bacterial small subunit ribosomal RNA", at positions 333 to 614 of the family's 1533-position model. The record is from RNAcentral.
UGGUGCCUACGGGGGGCAGCAGUGGGGAAUAUUGCACAAUGGGCGCAAGCCUGAUGCAGCCAUGCCGCGUGUAUGAAGAAGGCCUUCGGGUUGUAAAGUACUUUCAGCGGGGAGGAAGGGAGUAAAGUUAAUACCUUUGCUCAUUGACGUUACCCGCAGAAGAAGCACCGGCUAACUCCGUGCCAGCAGCCGCGGUAAUACGGAGGGUGCAAGCGUUAAUCGGAAUUACUGGGCGUAAAGCGCACGCAGGCGGUUUGUUAAGUCAGAAGUGAAGUCCACUGGCUCAACC